CCAAUAGUUCACUGACCAAAAUGCCCUUAAACUUGCUUUCAUUUUCGGAUUCCCUCCUUCGUGCUUUCUUUUUCCUUUCACCCCGUGGAAAACCCUAACUCUUACAGUCUUACUCCAUCUCUUCCGCCCCCAUUUUCUCCCUCCUCUCCCUUCUUCGAUUUCCGCCAUUGAAAUUCGCUCUCUUCCCUUUUCCUCAUCUCUCCUGCAAUUCAUACUCCAUAGACUUGGCGAUGCUUUUCAUCUUCCACAAAAAUGGUGUCCGGUGGAUCGAUAGUGCCGCAUCAACUUCACUUUACGAAGCUCUCUCGUCUUUCCGUCUUCAUUUUCGCUCUUUCUAAUGUUACAAGAUGUUUGGGAUUCAAAAGCUGGUGCUAAACUUCUUGACUUGGAUCUUCUCAAGGGGCAAUUCCGGUGAUAGUAAGCUCACCAAAGAUGGAAACACCUUUUGAGAGAAAUGGGCUCAAUUCUAAAACAUUCUCCAUCUUCGGUUUCGUCUUCCUUCAACCUCCUCUUCUCUCACCGCCACUUUCCUGAUGAGGACCGAUGUUCCUUCCUCAACAAAUCUGAGGUUGUUGAUCGUGUCAUUACCUCGCCAAGAACUUCCAGAAAGUUGACCCUUCCAAGGUUUGAGUUUUAAUCUCAAUUUUUUCAAUUAUUUUAUUUAGAAAUGUCAAUUAAUGGUCUAUUUAAUUUGAUAAAUCGGCAUAAGUAGCUUGUUGGAGUCAGCCUUUUAGGGUUCUUAUGUCUGAUUUUAUUGCAAGCGUCAGUCAUUGAUUAAUUGGUUUUAGAAUAAUUAAUUCAGGGGUUUUUAAUUUUUGUUGUUGUUGUUGUUGGGGUCAAUUUCGAGUAUCGGUAUGAAAUUGAACAAGUCGAUGUGUAUUUUGAUGGUUGUUCGUUUGAAUACAAGUAGGAUUAGAAGAAUAAAGAAGUGUUCUGUAGGAAGUUUUAGUUGUAAGUGGAAUAGGAGGGCACAAACAUUAGCUUACUUAACUUAUUUUAUGUUUUGUAAGUCGACACCGGGAAGAACAACGAACAUAAUGUAGUAUCCAAAACGUUUUUGCUAGCUGUUGACCAGUUGCGUUAUUUGUGUUCAUAAGUUGCUUGAUAUAAAGAGCUUUCCCCUCACCAUCGUCGAUGGUAUAGUGGGGAAAAUUGGAUAUGAGAUGUACAUAUUUUAGGUGAUUUGAUCACUUUUUGAGUGAUUGUGCAUGUAUGUGUUUUUACUUUUGUUACCUCUGGUUUGUGUUGCUUUCAGAGAAUUUGAUUUCACUUUUAUCAUUUAUGUAGAAUCAUUUCUCUUGCAUUUGAUUUGUAAUUGUCAAGAAAAGGCCAAAUAUUUCCUCACUUUCCUUCGCUGAUGUUUAAAAUCUUUCUCAUAGCCCCUUUUGAGUGCGGGUCGUUUCAGUUUUCAUAUUGAUUGUUAGGUUUACCAUGGUUAGCCCUCUUCUUUGCUCACGUUGUUUAUAUAUUUGAAGAUAUCAAUGCCUGGUCUUUCAGGCUUGAUAUCUCUUGUAUUACAUUCUAGAAGCUUUAUAUCCUCUCAGUUUGUUUCUUUGGGCUGCUAAAGUUUGGUUCUUUGACUUUGUUUUGUGUUUUUUGAAAUCAUAUCCAGUGCGCAUGAGCUCAAUAGGGAGAAGAACAUGUCUAUUCCUCAAUUUGAACCGUGCAGAUGCACGUCGAUGUUUUCUAUGCUGGGAUGAACCAACUUCUAAAGGGGAAGAAGGCAUUUAAUAAUUGAUUUACUUCAAUUGACUUAGAAAAAAUAAUUGAUUGGAAUCUCACCACUGCAGCAAAAUAUGUAAGUUUCUUUGUUGGUCUUAAUUUUCUUGUUUGUAAUAAAGUAGGAUACUUUUGGUAGAGUAAUCAUUGAACUACUAUUUUGUGUAUUGCAAUCAAGAGUCACAGCCAAUAUCCUGAAUUUUGGGUAUUGCAACCAGGUGACUUUUGGUGGGGUAGUCAAUUUUCUUUAAUGUUUGACUUGACCAUAUCCUGAAUUCGGGGGCGAUGUGCUGAAUUUCCCUCAACAUCACCAACUGUAUGGGUAAUCUCUCACCAUCUUUAAUUAGAGGAUUUUGGGUGGAUUAAGAUAUUUUUAGAAAAUGAGGUGAAAUAAAGAGAGGGUCAAUGUUGACAGCUAUUGGUUGGAUUUUCAAAGAGAGGUUGCUUCUGACAUGGCUGAAUUUAGUACCUAAUUCAAUCAUUUUUGAAGUUUUAAUGGUUGACGAUGUCUUGGUGUUGACCGUGUCCUUCUUAGACUGUAUUUCUGCAAUACACCUGCUCUUUCCAACAACAACCAGCAAAUAACAGAGAAAAUAGAGCAAAUAACACAGCAAAUGGAAGAGAAUAAUUAUAGAUUUCUGAAUUACUCAAGUGUAAGGUUACAAAAGUAAUAGUUUUAGGCUAUCAAUCUCUUAAUUCAGUGACUUUAGGUCAAAAACUCUCAAUACUCAAUACAAUACACCCUUUUCUCUUUCCUCUCUCUACUAUUUAUAAUUUUAUAUUACUAAGUGCAUUAAUGUUACUCUGCUACUGUUGCUCCGGUUAUCAGGUAGUGGUAACGGCCUUAUGCCCUUAUGUGCCAACUCCUGCCACUUUUGUGUUGUUGCCCUCCUUUUUUGUUGCUCCUCCCUUUUUGUUGCGUUUGCUAUAAACCAAAACAGGUGGGUCAGUGCCUUGUUGGUUUAUUACAGUUUCCUUCCUUGUGCUUGUUUUAAAUGAGUAAGUUACAAUUUGAUGUCUAUCUCUCCCCAAAUCAAAGCCAUUGUGCAAGGUACUAAUUUUUAUAAAUAUAUUUUCCCAUCUUUCUAAUUGUGAGAUUAGAAUUACUGUUUUGGUUUUUCUAGAGCUUCUUCAUUCUUAGUGAUUUUUCUUGUAGUUUUCUUUUCCUGGUAAUAAUAUAUUUUCGUGAUUCACCUCACUCUUUCAGUUCUUCUGAAAAUUAUGGUUUUGAAUUCAUUUCAUUUAAGUUUGAAUUGAUGAGAGACAAAUUAGAGAAAAUGAGAAAAAAUGAUAGAAAGACAUAGCAGCAGAGAGGCAUAGAGAAAAGAAGAUGAGAGAUAGAGGAAGAGAACGAAAAAAUUGAGGACAUAGAGAGAUAAGAGCUAGAGUUACUAAAAUAUUAAACAUAAAAAAUCUGGUGUGCUUCUGAGUUUGAUGCAAAAAUCUGUGUAGUUUGACUGCUUCUUAUGGCAUGGGUCAGACCAAAGAAGUCUACAUGAAAAACACUAGCUACUUUGAUCCCUAUUCCCAAAUCGUGAGAUUAGUAAUUAUAUCUUAAUCUCACAUAACAUUGAGCAUGUUACGUGUAUUAGAGUCAUUUACCAUGUUAAACGUUGAAAUCCCAGCUAAUUAGGUAUGGUAUGUAGGUGAAAUUUUUGUUUUUCUCAUUC
Molecule: long non-coding RNA, 3389 nt
Organism: Spinacia oleracea (spinach)
Lineage: Eukaryota; Viridiplantae; Streptophyta; Magnoliopsida; Caryophyllales; Amaranthaceae
Exons: 3
Source: RefSeq, a predicted model, not a curated record